UUCUGCUUUCAGGAAACUUGCAAGUCUGUUUGUGAAUCUCCUAAGAAGACAUCUGAAAACAGUUCUAUCCCAUACAGCUGAACUGGGAGCAAAUUUAAUUCAUGCUAUUUGAAAUCACCCAGCUCUGACUUGGUCUUAUUCCUCCAAAGAAAGCGGUAUCUCCCAGCUUGCUGUCCUCCAGAUGUGGAAGGCUUCACUCCCAAGUUCCCAGUCAACAUGUCUGAAGAUCAAUAAAACUGGAAAACAUCAGACUAGACCAGCCAGAAAGACCUAGAAGUAGAACUAGACCAGCCAGGAAGAAAAUACAAUGUUUUAGUAAUUCAUGACUAGUAUAUAUAUAUUGACUGGUUCAUAAGACUGACCAAGCUAACAAUGAAAUGAAUACUUGUUUAUUCUGUCUAUAUAUUGUAUUGAACAAUAUGUAACUAUUUUCAGAUCUAAUU
This is a non-coding RNA of Pantherophis guttatus, 443 nucleotides long. The record is from RefSeq and is a predicted model, not a curated record. NCBI's taxonomy places the organism in Eukaryota, Metazoa, Chordata, Lepidosauria, Squamata, Colubridae.